Molecule: ribosomal RNA, 451 nt
Filed under: uncultured bacterium
Lineage: Bacteria
Description: partial 16S ribosomal RNA
Rfam family: Bacterial small subunit ribosomal RNA
Source: RNAcentral
AACGAACGCUGGCGGCAGGCCUAACACAUGCAAGUCGAACGCUCGUAGCAAUACGGGAGUGGCGCACGGGUGAGUAACGCGUGGGAACGUGCCCUUUAGUUUGGGAUAACAGCUGGAAACGGCUGCUAAUACCAAAUACGCCCUUCGGGGGAAAGAUUUAUCGCUAAAGGAUCGGGCCGCGUAAGAGUAGGUAGUUGGUGGGGUAAUGGCCUACCAAGCCUUCGAUCUUUAGCUGGUCUGAGAGGAUGAUCAGCCACACUGGAACUGAGACACGGUCCAGACUCCUACGGGAGGCAGCAGUGGGGAAUAUUGGACAAUGGGGGAAACCCUGAUCCAGCCAUGCCGCGUGAACGAUGAAGGCCUUAGGGUUGUAAAGUUCUUUUGUCAGGGAAGAUGAUGACGGUACCUGACGAAUAAGCACCGGCUAACUUCGUGCCAGCCGCCGCCGUAA